This 649-nucleotide ribosomal RNA is filed under the name uncultured bacterium. RNAcentral describes it as "bacterial SSU rRNA". It matches the Rfam family "Bacterial small subunit ribosomal RNA", at positions 140 to 805 of the family's 1533-position model. The record is from RNAcentral.
GGGAUAACGUUCUGAGAAGAACGCUAAUACCGCAUAACAUCAAUUUAUCGCAUGAUAGGUUGAUCAAAGGAGCAAUCCGCUGGAAGAUGGACUCGCGUCCGAUUAGCCAGUUGGCGGGGUAACGGCCCACCAAAGCGACGAUCGGUAGCCGGACUGAGAGGUUGAACGGCCACAUUGGGACUGAGACACGGCCCAGACUCCUACGGGAGGCAGCAGUGGGGGAUAUUGCACAAUGGGGGAAACCCUGAUGCAGCAACGCCGCGUGAGGGAAGAAGGUUUUCGGAUUGUAAACCUCUGUUCUUAGUGACGAUAAUGACGGUAGCUAAGGAGAAAGCUCCGGCUAACUACGUGCCAGCAGCCGCGGUAAUACGUAGGGAGCGAGCGUUGUCCGGAUUUACCGGGUGUAAAGGGUGCGUAGGCGGCGAGGCAAGUCAGGCGUGAAAUCUAUGGGCUUAACCCAUAAACUGCGCUUGAAACUGUCUUGCUUGAGUGAAGUAGAGGUAGGCGGAAUUCCCGGUGUAGCGGUGAAAUGCGUAGAGAUCGGGAGGAACACCAGUGGCGAAGGCGGCCUACUGGGCUUUAACUGACGCUGAAGCACGAAAGCAUGGGUAGCAAACAGGAUUAGAUACCCUGGUAGUCCAUGCCGUAA